GCUAAACGUAUCAACAUACCUAAUAAAACAAAAUGUAUUAAUUUACAACGCGCCUAAUAUUUUACUCGGGUUUACUUGAAACACUUGGCACAAAAAUCAAUCGAAAGAAUUGGAAAACUAAAAUGUUCCUAAAAAUUCUCUACUCUUUACUACUGCAAUACGGUGAUUUGCGUUUUUUCCGGCAUUUGUCUGUAUAUAGAUAUAUACAUAUCUUAUAGAAACGAUGGGCGAAUAAUUUAAUAACAAUUGAUGUCAUCUAGAGAGACGAUUGGAUUUGUCAGAGGACAGUUUUGUUGUUAUUAUUGUAUAUGUAUUAUACCGAUAACGUUUAUCAAUAUAACAUUAUAUUUUAUAAUAUCUUUGCGUAUUCGCUCAUUCCCAUUUAAAACUGAUGUUCAUGAGAAAAACACGGGUUUAAUUAUUGGUUUCCC
Molecule: non-coding RNA, 431 nt
Organism: Cinara cedri
Lineage: Eukaryota; Metazoa; Arthropoda; Insecta; Hemiptera; Aphididae
Source: the annotation of a GenBank genome assembly